RNAcentral lists this long non-coding RNA (1207 nucleotides) under Olea europaea subsp. europaea. The record is from RNAcentral. Lineage: Eukaryota; Viridiplantae; Streptophyta; Magnoliopsida; Lamiales; Oleaceae.
AAAUGCCGCGUCAUGAUAUUUGGGCCAUUGGUUGGUUAGACAACAGUCACCUUAUCUUUAAAAUGAAGAAGUUGGAACGCACAAAAAAAUGCCCUGUUGUGUGGCCUAUAAUGUGAAAACCGGAGAAGCAUCCAUUUUUGGUGGUAAAGAUGGAAUUGAUGGCUUGAUGCCCAUAUUUGUCGAAUUCAUACAAACUCUCUUGUUUCCUGGUAUGCAGCUUUCUUUGACAGAUUCAAUCAAUUUUUUAUGAAGCUGAGAUUUUUUUUUUUUUUUUAAUUGUUUGCGAUUGACUUUUUAAGCUCUAUUGUUCCUUAACUUUUUAGAGUUUUCAGUUAUAUAAUGCUAUUUAAUUGAAAGGGAUGACCGUUUUACCAUGACAGGUCGAUAUACACUCGAUCAUUUUCUUUAUUUAGAAGUUCAAAAAAGGUGUAUGUUUAUCAGAAGUCAACUUGAGAAAUUUUACAGUCGGAAGGUCAAUUUUCACAAUUAAAAAUGCUCUCGCCACUUGGUUCUAUAUUAGGCUUGCUAGAUUGAACUAGAACUAGAGCCUGUUUGAUGUAUAUUUUUUGAGAACAGAUUGUGAAAAGUGAUUUUCUAGGAGAACGUGUGAUUAAAAGGUAGGAUAAAGUCUUGGUCCAAUUGCAAAAUUAUUUAUUUGGGAAAAAGCGUAAUUGAAAUUGAGUUUGGAGAAAGAUGAGUUUUAAAAAAUCUCUAUCAACAGGGCCUUGUCUUUCAUAUUGCACUAUCUGGAAGACAAAUGAAAUCAUAAAGCUGUUUCACAUAACUUUCUUUGACAUUCUUUUUUCUUCUGUUCCUUACGAGCAAUGUGUCAUGAGUUUCUGUCCUAAUCUGAUCUUUCGGAACCUUGCAGGUAAUUCUCGCUGAAGAUCCAAAAAUGACAACACAGGAAUGGCAAUUUACAGUACACUCUAAGAAUUUUUGUUAGGCAUUCCUGUACUGUGCUCGUCUGUCUUCUUUCCAUUUACCCCUUCCUUGCCAUUUGGCAUAGUACAAGAUGUAAAAUGGUUUGAGUCUCGAGUUAAGGAUAUUCUUUUUGUUUAUCGAGAAGAAAACUUUUUGAAUUCUCGGUACUGACUGGCUAACUCAUUGAUGACUUUGGUUUUCUUCAAUGUUAAUGAAUGGAAAUUCUAUCUGUUCUGAUUUUCUGUUCUUUGUUGUCUGGUUAUCCUAGUUUCUUGUACUUUUG